Molecule: long non-coding RNA, 1241 nt
Organism: Humulus lupulus (European hop)
Lineage: Eukaryota; Viridiplantae; Streptophyta; Magnoliopsida; Rosales; Cannabaceae
Exons: 2
Source: RefSeq, a predicted model, not a curated record
UAAAGGUUGGACAGCAGCACAAAUAUGAAAAAGUACAUCUUUUUUCCCUUUCUAUAUUGAUUCAAUGAGUAAAUUACGAGUAGAUUAUUUCAUAUUGUCAGUUACGUAUUUUAAUCCUUGAUAGCAAGUCAUUGAGUUUUCUUUCUUUUCUUUUUUUUUUUCUUUUUCUUUUUCUUUUCUUCUGGUAUUGAUGAUGAUAAGUAGUAAAAUAAAAAACCCUGCUUUUUUCUGGACCUUAAUCUAUCAAAUAUUUGGUCCUACUAAUAUUUAUGUAUAUAUGGUCAAAGGAUAAAAGAACUCUUGGCCUUAGGACCAUAAUGUCGGAUCAAAUAAUUCAAUGCUGGCAGUUAACUUGGUCCUAGUGUUUUACCAAUUACUAUAAUAACAUCUUUUACUUUUAAAAGCUUCUUGCUUUGCUUUUUCUGACUUUAGCUCCCAAAGUCUCCAAUUUUUUGAGCUCUCUUAAUUCUCAUUAAAAAAUCUCUCUCCUCAAAAGCUAAUUUAUUUUCGAACCAUAUAUAGUACAUAACCAACUUACAACAUAGUGACACAUAAGAAUUUUCUUUUUCUUUUUUAUUAGGGUGUGACUAUCAUCACAAAUGCCUGGACUGAUGCUAGACAUUCUGUGAAUCAAAUCUAUGACAUCCUUUACAUGAUGGGGCGCGAUGAUAUCGCUGUUAGAGUUGGCGGCGAAGGUGGAAUACUAAAAGAUGGUACCAUUCUUCCUAAUGUUGGUGGAUAUCUUCCCAUAAUAGAACAGACAUGAGCUCAUUGAUUGCCUUCUACAUGUUUGAUUUUUGUUUUUCCUCAUAAAAAAACCUAGUACAUUGCCAUAACAUGUAUAUCAUACAAUCUCAGUUAAAAGCCACUCUAAUUUGUGUUUAGUUUAUGUAUGUCAGGGUGUUACAACCACUGGGGGAUGUAGAUAUAGACAAGCUAUCCCAGUAGGUAUUGGAGGUCGUCUGGAUGUUGAUACAAAUUUUGGCAUUAGAAAAGCUUUUCUUCCUCAGGUAUAUUGAGAUGAUUUCUUUGGAGCAAUUCUUGACAACAUUUGUAGUUGAGGCCUUUAGAAUGGAAGAAUGUAUUUCACUAAUUUUUGUAUACAUUUCUUGUUUUGUAUUUAGUGAUAAAGGAAUCUGAAUUGGGCAUAAAUUAUGUUGUAAUAUGAUUUCUUAAGCCUAGACUAGUAGACUAAAUAUUGUAAUUACAUUUGAGUAAUUAAUAAAAAUCUAUUUAUGUUA